This 374-nucleotide ribosomal RNA is filed under the name uncultured organism. RNAcentral's name for it is "partial 16S ribosomal RNA". It matches the Rfam family "Bacterial small subunit ribosomal RNA", at positions 527 to 896 of the family's 1533-position model. The record is from RNAcentral.
GUAGGUGGCAAGCGUUGUCCGGAAUUAUUGGGCGUAAAGCGCGCGCAGGCGGUUCUUUAAGUCUGAUGUGAAAGCCCACGGCUCAACCGUGGAGGGUCAUUGGAAACUGGAGAACUUGAGUACAGAAGAGGAAAGCGGAAUUCCACGUGUAGCGGUGAAAUGCGUAGAGAUGUGGAGGAACACCAGUGGCGAAGGCGGCUUUCUGGUCUGUAACUGACGCUGAGGCGCGAAAGCGUGGGGAGCAAACAGGGAUUAGAGUACCCUGGUAGUCCACGCCGUAAACGAUGAGUGCUAAGUGUUAGGGGGUUUCCGCCCCCUUAGUGCUGCAGCUAACGCAUUAAGCACUCCGCCUGGGGAGUACGGCCGCAAGGCUG